RNAcentral lists this ribosomal RNA (254 nucleotides) under uncultured bacterium. RNAcentral's name for it is "partial 16S ribosomal RNA". It matches the Rfam family "Bacterial small subunit ribosomal RNA", at positions 524 to 776 of the family's 1533-position model. The record is from RNAcentral.
UACGAAGGGGGCUAGCGUUGCUCGGAAUCACUGGGCGUAAAGCGCACGUAGGCGGCUAAGUAAGUCGGGCGUGAAAUCCCACGGCUCAACCGUGGAAGUGCACUCGAAACUGCAUAGCUAGAGUCCUGGAGAGGAAGGUGGAAUGCUUGGUGUAGAGGUGAAAUUCGUAGAUAUCAAGCGGAACACCGGUGGCGAAGGCGGCCUUCUGGGACAGUGACUGACGCUGAGACGCGAAAGCGUGGGGAGCAAACAGG